GUUCAGACUGGAAGACCGUUAGUUGCUUACCUAUUUAAUAAUUUUCUUAAACAUAGUAUUAGAGAUUAUUUACAUACCUACCUAAGAUUGUUGGCAAAAUCAAUGUUAAACAUUACUUUAAAUAACAAAUUCCUUACUAAAAAUAAAGGAAAGGUUUCCGUAUUUACUUUCGUUCCGUACUUUCUUUGUGUGUUAAAUGUAUAGUACCAUAUAGAUAAUUAUUACCUCUUGUUAGUUGGUGGGUACCAAAUCUGGUUAUUUUUAUUCAUUGCCAACAGUACUAUAUAUACCUACAAAACCAUUUUGUCUCUUUAUUUUAGUGAAAAGCAAGAAGUUAUGCUUGUAUUUAAUUCUAAAUAGUACCACACGCUUGGUACCUACUGCAUUUUGUAAUUCGUAAAUGAGGAUUUUUUUUUUACAUUUUGAUGUGAAAGGUGUGAUUAGCAAAUUAAAUUUAUUUUACAUUGUAUUUAACUAGACUACAUACUCUUUUUCUAGAAGGUGAUUAAUUUUAAUUGUUCAUAGUUCUUACCUAAUGAUAAUAGUUGAAGUAAUUUAAAGUACCUACAGCCAGUCGUAAGAAUUGGUGUCUUGUUUUCUAAAUUACCUAUUUUAUUCUUCCUACCUUAACGAUAUUGAAGUUUGAUGUUGUAAAUUUAGUACAAAUAUUUAUGUAGGUAUUUUAAUUGAGUUUUACUACAGAAAGUUAAACAUGUAAAGAGCAUACAGGGUGAUUCUAAAAAAUGUUAAAAAUAAUAAUUUAACCUAACUUUUAUAUUUAAAUAAUUGGGUGAUCGUUUGGACCUUUUAUUGUUUAAAUUAGUCCAGCGUGCACAUUUAAUAUUAUUCGUGGGUUUCCUUUGUGGUUGAGAAUACUUUAGAAUAAAUAUUUUGUUGUGAAAGUGAUCGUGAUCUAAGUUGUUUACGAGGCGUUAUCUUUAUUACCUACUUUCCGGUGGGUUAGAUUUAACACAAGUUUUUCCAUAUUGUUGUUACGUUAAGGAGUAGGUAUUCAUUUAUUAGCAGUUAUCGGUGAUAGGUAGUUUUUUUGUUUUGAUGUAUAGUAGGCGUUUUUUUAUGUGUUUGAAGUGGGAGUUAAGUACAUUGUGUCCGGAUGGUACUAAUACGUCCGUACACAAGUAUUACCUUUUCGAUGUUUGGUGGUGAGUGGACGAUUUAAAAGUUCUCUUCACGUAGUUUUCUGGGUGCUGGCGUUUUAAACCAGCAUUUCAGCUUCACUGGCUGGUCGGAUUCUUGCGGAUUUAAACGGAGAAUUCUUAAUAGCAGUGUUGUACCCUUGUUGAUGCUUUGCGAUAUGACUUAAAUCAUAUGCGUGAACGUUGGCGUUCUUUUGUGUUGUCGGACCGACAGACUUGCGUCGCCUGAGACGCGGUCUGUACAGUCAACCCUUGUACUUAUGUCUAAUGUUGUGUCGAAACGUUCCGUCUUGUGUCGUACAUAGACGCAGCCGGUAUAUACGCUUCGUUGUUCUGGUGUUAUUGUCUGUUCUUUGUAUUCUUAGCUGUCACCGAUAUUUGUUAGGGAAAUUUCAUUUAGCUAUAAGCCGUCUUCCGUUAUAUCGCUUGGACGUACAGCCCGCUGUCUGGUAUAGCUCGCUGUGCCGCCAAGAAAUAUAGACGAUGCGACGUAAUGUAGUAAUUUACCUAAAAAAAAAAAGGGGCUAUUCUUAUCUGGUUUAGUGCGUGGGUUCGAUUUGGAUGGUUUUUUUGUUAUCGAUUAUAGAUUUCGAGUUGUAGCUGUUAUAUUACCCAUAUUUCCUGUAGUUUGGAGCUGGGGACCAGCUCAAAAUUUUGCCUGCGUCAAAAUUUUCUCUGGGGAGGGGAGUACUGUAACAAUAUUUUUUCAAACCUCGUAGGUAUAUUUUUAUUUAGCUGAUAUUAUACUCAAGUAACUAUUGGUUUCGUACAGGCAGAGCCAUCUAUCGGCAGGAUUGUAUUGAUAACCCAGUUUGCUGUUAGCUAGAAUGACAAAAGAUGGCGUGUCGAUCGUCGUUAAUUUAUUUCCUUCCAAAAUCCCUUUUGAAUUUUCAUUUAUUAAAAAUAAAACUCAAUUUAUUAUUGUAUUGUUAGUUUUCGUUCCUUUUUGGAAAUAUUUUAUUACCCUCUUUAAGACAGAAGUUAAAGUUGUUGUCUAUAGGCGAAUGCAUCUCGUCACGUAUCUGUGGGCCGAGCUGUCAGCCGACACUUUGCAUAUUGGAAAGGAUGUAGACGGGUGGUUUUCAAAUUCUUCAGGGCCAAUGCGCCACAUUCUAAUUUUUAAAUCGCGAAUUAAUCGCAUAAUCGUAAGUAUUUUCUUCCAUAUUCGAAUGCAGUUUGUUGUGUUACGUUCAGUGCUAAUUCUUGUGUCCAUUAUUUUCAGAUGAUUUUAUUUUUAUAAAAUUACUGAGGACCCCUUCCAUUGACAUGAUUGCACGGAACCACAAGCCGGCUUCUUUUCUGGAAUGGGUCCUCAGAUUUGGAGGUUAACGUUCGAAGACAGAGCAGAGCUGAUGCUUCCCGAGCCUGGACCGGUGGACAGGAGGCUGUGACGAUCGGUAUGGAAGAGCUCCCAUUCCGUGGCUGCAGCGGCCACCUCUCCUCAACUCGGUUAGACGUCCCCAAGGUCAGAGCGUUCCUCGU
RNAcentral lists this long non-coding RNA (2639 nucleotides) under Leguminivora glycinivorella. RNAcentral describes it as "uncharacterized LOC125242312". Lineage: Eukaryota; Metazoa; Arthropoda; Insecta; Lepidoptera; Tortricidae. The record is from RNAcentral.